CCUACGGGAGGCAGCAGUGGGGAAUAUUGCACAAUGGGGGAAACCCUGAUGCAGCGACGCCGCGUGAGUGAAGAAGUAAUUCGUUAUGUAAAGCUCUAUCAGCAGGGAAGAAAAUGACGGUACCUGAGUAAGAAGCCCCGGCUAACUACGUGCCAGCAGCCGCGGUAAUACGUAGGGGGCAAGCGUUAUCCGGAUUUACUGGGUGGAAAGGGAGCGUAGACGGCAGUGCAAGUCUGGAGUGAAAGGCGGGGGCUCAACCCCCGGACUGCUCUGGAAACUGUACGGCUGGAGUGCAGGAGAGGGAAGUGGAAUUCCUAGGGUAGCGGUGAAAUGCGUAGAUAUUAGGAGGAACACCAGUGGCGAAGGCGGCUUACUGGACUGUAACUGACGUUGAGGCUCGAAAGCGUGGGGAGCAAACAGGAUUAGAUACCCCUGUAGUC
Molecule: ribosomal RNA, 440 nt
Filed under: uncultured bacterium
Lineage: Bacteria
Description: partial 16S ribosomal RNA
Rfam family: Bacterial small subunit ribosomal RNA
Source: RNAcentral